RNAcentral lists this ribosomal RNA (401 nucleotides) under uncultured bacterium. RNAcentral describes it as "bacterial SSU rRNA". It matches the Rfam family "Bacterial small subunit ribosomal RNA", at positions 358 to 774 of the family's 1533-position model. The record is from RNAcentral.
GGAAUAUUGCGCAAUGGAGGAAACUCUGACGCAGUGACGCCGCGUAUAGGACGAAGGUCUUCGGAUUGUAAACUAUUGUCGUUAGGGAAGAAAAAGGACAGUACCUAAGGAGGAAGCUCCGGCUAACUACGUGCCAGCAGCCGCGGUAAUACGUAGGGAGCAAGCGUUAUCCGGAUUUAUUGGGUGUAAAGAGUGCGUAGACGGGAAGUUAAGUUGGUCUGUGAAAUCCCUCGGCUCAACUGAGGAACUGCAACCAAAACUGAUUUUCUUGAGUGCUGGAGAGGAAAGUGGAAUUCCUAGUGUAGCGGUGAAAUGCGUAGAUAUUAGGAGGAACACCAGUGGCGAAGGCGACUUUCUGGACAGUAACUGACGUUGAGGCACGAAAGCGUGGGGAGCGAACA